This 933-nucleotide ribosomal RNA is filed under the name uncultured Bacteroidota bacterium. RNAcentral's name for it is "bacterial SSU rRNA". It matches the Rfam family "Bacterial small subunit ribosomal RNA", at positions 1 to 864 of the family's 1533-position model. The record is from RNAcentral. Lineage: Bacteria; Pseudomonadati; Bacteroidota.
GACUCCCUAUAGGGCCGAAUGGUCCCGACGUCGCAUGCUCCCGGCCCGCCAUGGCGGCCCGCGGGAAUUCGAUUAGAGUUUGAUCAUGGCUCAGGAUGAACGCUAGCGGCAGGCUUAACACAUGCAAGUCGAGGGGUAACAGAAUAGCUUGCUAUUGCUGACGACCGGCGCACGGGUGCGUAACGCGUAUACAAUCUACCUUACACAGGAGAAUAGCCCUAAGAAAUUGGGAUUAAUGCUCCAUAGCAAUAUUAAAUCGCAUGAUUUAAUAUUUAAAGCUUCGGUGGUGUAAGAUGAGUAUGCGUCCUAUUAGUUAGUUGGUAAGGUAACGGCUUACCAAGACAGCGAUAGGUAGGGGGCCUGAGAGGGUUAUCCCCCACACUGGUACUGAGACACGGACCAGACUCCUACGGGAGGCAGCAGUGAGGAAUAUUGGUCAAUGGAGGCAACUCUGAACCAGCCAUGCCGCGUGAAGGAAGAAUGUCCUACGGAUUGUAAACUUCUUUUAUUUGGGAAGAAACCUCUGGUCGAGAACCAGGGCUGACGGUACCAAAAGAAUAAGGACCGGCUAACUCCGUGCCAGCAGCCGCGGUAAUACGGAGGGUCCAAGCGUUAUCCGGAAUCAUUGGGUUUAAAGGGUUCGCAGGCUGUUUAAUAAGUCAGUGGUGAAAUCUCGAGGCUCAACCUCGAAACUGCCAUUGAUACUGUUAGACUUGAAUACAGUUGGAGUAGGCGGAAUGUGUAGUGUAGCGGUGAAAUGCUUAGAUAUUACACAGAACACCGAUAGCGAAGGCAGCUUACUAAACUGUGAUUGACGCUCAUGAACGAAAGCGUGGGGAGCGAACAGGAUUAGAUACCCUGGUAGUCCACGCCGUAAACUAUGAUUACUCGAUAUUGGCGAUAUACGGUCAGUGUCUAAGCGAAAGUGAUAAG